GCGCACAGCUGGACCGAGAGAGCAACGCGGGGAAAGGCGGGGCGCGUCAGGACUUGCUAGGGCAGCGGACUGCGAGCGGGAGGGGCGGGGCGCUGAGACGGGGGCGGGGCCUCGCGCUCAGACUUAAAGGGCCAGGGCCACCUUGCGUGUGCCGCGGGAGCGCGAAAGGUGGAGAUGAGGGGGACGACCCACGCGAGGCCAUUCUUGGGAUCAUGAAGGCCGCGAGUUAAUUAUUUACUCAUAAUAAAUAAGUUAUAAAUAUAUUGAGACAGUCUGAAGGACGAUUCCCAAAACUGAGCUAAAUUUGAUGGAGGGAGCCAGCCACCUGUGGAGUGGAACCCAAAUCAAGUUGUUCCUUAGGCUCUGACUCUACCCUUAGGUGACCCAUUCCGUGUGGUCUUGCAGUGACAAACUUGGAGCAGAGUGACAGAGCCAGCUGCCUUUGUUAAAGCAUUGUGCUUCAGUUGUCCCUUCUUGUAAAAUGGUGAUAAUGUUGCUUGCUCUAGUUAUCUUUAUAGGGUAAAGAUAAAAUUAAAUCCUGUAUUAUUCUCUACUUAAAGAAGCGCUUUUAGGAAGUUCCCCUGUGGCUCAGCGGGUUAAGGAUCCCGAGCAGGCUGCAACUGCCGGUCAGGUUCGACCCCUGGCCCAGGAACUUCUACAUGCUGCGAUUGUGCCCAAGCGCUUUUAAAAGGGCUGUCACUCUGGGCAGUUCUAGCUUCUUCCUUCUCCCAAUCUCCUUCUCCCCGAAGCAUCCACCAGAGGACGCAGCUUCCCCCAAACUUUCCACUCUGCUUGGCUAGAGAAACUCAGUCCACGUUUUCCUGCUACUCCGGGCCCGCAGUUAAAUCACUGCAGCCCCAGACUAAGCUGUCCGUUACCAUGGGAACGGAAAGCCAUGACGUCACCAUUGUCUGGGUGAGUGCGUUGGAGUCCAUGCCUAUACAUUCCCAGGACUCCCUGCAGGACUUGAGAGUGGAGGAGAGAAAAGACUUCCUUUUCCCCCUACCUUCUCGCGCCCCCUCCUGCUAGGAAAGUGGACGGCUGCCCCCCGCACGUGUCCGAACUACCACGCCGGCGACCACGCGUGAGCACGCAGAAGGCCCAAACCUCCCACCAUACCCCUCAGAACUUUCCCCGAACUCCUCCUUGCCUCUAUCCCCAAGGAAGUCAAGUCAGUCAAAUAACGAGGCUCAGCCUGUCCCAAACCCGCCGGGGCCCCUCAGAUCACACCCGCACGCUAGAAUCCUGCUCCUGGGCCGCGGUUUCCCUCGGACCCCGCCCCGCUCCUCGGGCCCCGCCCCCCGGCAGCGCGGGCGGGAGGCGGGGCCGGGGGCGCGGCCGCCGG
RNAcentral lists this long non-coding RNA (1345 nucleotides) under Sus scrofa (pig). RNAcentral's name for it is "lncRNA (ENSSSCG00055023864.1)". The record is from RNAcentral. Lineage: Eukaryota; Metazoa; Chordata; Mammalia; Artiodactyla; Suidae.